GGACAUUCUGUACACCACUCAGCUGAUCCCUCAGUCCAUUUGGAUUUGUCCUAACAAUCAGCACUUUAUGGCUGAAAGGGCCCAAGACAACCAUUGCCUUCACUUUCCGCUACCCUUCAGAGUGACCCCAGCAUAUUGCCAGAGGCUCCUUGGACCUUUCAAGGACACCAGGAUGAGGCAAGAAGCCAAGAGGAUUCCUCCCAGCCUUAUAUAAUGGACGUCUUGAACCCGGCUCCUCAAACUAAGCAGCGUGUUCCUGACCAGAGCUUGAGCAACUAAUACUGAUCUGCCCUGAAAGCCUGCCGUCUCUCAGCUGUCAGCCUUCAAAAGCAAAAAGGCUUCAUACAAGAAGGUUUUCCAAUGGGGCAGAGCUUGUUUCUUGAGAACCGCGGCCAACGUUUGGUUCAGGUCUGGCUACUUACGUUCUGCGUUCUGCUUUGCUUCAGGACUGGAGGUAAGUAUGGUCCCCACUUCCUGUCCUUGAACAGGUGAAGCAAGAAUAAACCACUCUUCUACAUAGAUUAAAUCUAGGAGCAACUGGUGGGGAUGUACUUUUGCAAGAGUGGAAUACAUGCCUCCUAAAGUGGGGACGUGAUAGUUCAGUGUUAGAGCUCUUGCCUUCCGUGAAGAAAGCCCCAAGUUAAUCCCUUACCUACCAUCUCCAGUUGAACGUUGCAGUGAGAAGAGUGUGGAGUAUCCUGAUAAUGGGGCAAAAUAGACAAGGCAGUUCCCUGUGUUUGUAGAAGUGAAUCAAAUCACCCACCUCUUGUUGCAUAUGUAUAGCUGGAGAGAUUUAGGGCUCAUGCACACUGCUGCUCAUCCUGUGCUUUUGAGGCAAGGGCCAAGGGGUUUUCCAUUUCCCCCCACCACUUUCUUCAGGAAAACUCGCUACUUUCAGCUGAAUCCAUACAAACGUCAAUCCACAGAAAACCCGACUGACGAUUGCUUCGAUUCAGAGUGUGCCAUCUUCAAGAAAGAAGGUCCAUCUGUCUAGGUGGAAGGUGUCGCUAGUCUCGGGGCACAGGAGCCUGCCAUAAAUUUGCAUACAAUUUCCAUAUCCUAUGCUAUAUACAGAGAUGCAAAUAUAGUCUGACUUUCCAAGAGAAAAAGAAUUGUGCUAUUGCUGUUGUGGGACCUAUUCUGACAGCUAUGUGGGCCAACAGGAUUUUGGUGGGUUAGGUCAUUGAAGAUUGACGCGUCCCUCCUCAAAUGAAAUGAUGUCUCUUACAACAGAUGCUGUGAAAUGCAGAAUCUGCAAUCCAGGUGAUGUGAAGUUUUGCAGAAACCAUGAUGUGACAUGUGAGGGAUCAUAUUGUAUGAAGAUAGAAAGCUUUUCGGGUAAGGAAUGUUUCCUGUUGACAUUCCUCCUUUUUCUAUGCUACGCUUCAAUGUAGAAAACAAAGCCUUGUAUUCCAUAUUUACUACUCUGCAGAGUAUAAACAAAGCUUCCCCUUUUGGCCACAGUAGAUGCCCGUGCAUUCCCUUAGUUGCGUGGCGAGUUCCCGCUUCCCCCCACUGGAAAUAAAGACACGUGACACCAUGAUUUAAGUUAAUGGGUGAAAAUCGGCCACAACUUUAUUGGUUACAGAAAUGAGCGGUAUUGGCUUAGGCAUUAGUCCUAUUGACUAUCCAGCUUCAGCCCGAAUGCAUGAAGACCGGAAAGGGUUAACUGCCAGAAGGGGGAGUCCUGCUGAUGCACAUCAACUAGGAGCUCCCCUGGGGUCACUGCUCGGGGGCGUGCCUUAGGCCCACACCUCCAUAGGCUUUGGACAGGGCAACGCCCCCCGGAAUGCUUGACCUGACUACCCUUCGGUGUGGGGGAAGGUGAUGGCGCUUCCUCCACUCCCUCUCAUCUACAUAACAAUACCCUUACCAAUGCCUAACUGCCAAUGCCAAGGAGUUGUGACGAUUUGCUACGAGGUAGGUGAAAAACCAAAUGGCUGGAGCCAAUUUGCCAAGUGGAAAAAAUUCCUACCAGGCCCCUUGACGGCGACCAACCGAAGUUCACAGCAAUCUCAAAGAGCCUGCCUGAAGGGUGGGAGGGAUAGGAAACCGGAUCAGCUGGAGCAACGAAAGAGGAAGAUCCUCGGCCAUGCCAGCCCUAAACAGUGCAGGCCAGGCCUCCCAAGUCAGCCGAUUGGCUGGCAAGGGAGAUGACGCGGCCGAGGAUUCCCCCGUGCACAUGGGGGAGGGCGUGAAGCCCGCAACCCCACCUCCUCUCCAGCUCAGAAGUGGCUUUGUUAAUUUUUUGGUAAGUAUUCUGUGGCAUAUUAUCAGCAGCACAGCUUCCCAGAGACAGCAACAAUGAUCACAUGGUUCCAACACUUUUUGAAAUGGUGUGGCCCUUGCCAAGCUCUGACAAGAAGAAGAAGAAGAGUUGGGAUUUAAUAUCCCGCUUUAUCACUACCCUAAUAAUAAUAAUAAUAAUAAUAAUAAUAAUUUAUUAUUUAUACCCUGCCCAUCUGGCUGGGUUUCCCCAGCCACUCUGGGCGGCUUCCAACUGAAUAUUAAAAACAAUACAGCAUCAAACAUUAAAAACUUCCCUAAAGAGGGCUGCCUUCAGUUGUCUUUUAAAAGUAAAAUAGUUGUUUAUUGCUUUGACAUCUGCUGGGAGGGCGUUCCACAGGGCAGGCGCCACUACCGAGAAGGCCCUCUGCCUGGUCCCCUGUAACCUUACUUCUCGCAAUUAGGGAACCGCCAGAAGGCCCUCGGCGCUGGAUCUCAGUGUCCGGGCUGAACGAUGGGGGUGGAGACGCUCCUUCAGGUAUACAGGACCGAGGCCGUUUAGGGCUUUAAAGGUCAGCACCAACACUUUGAAUUGUGCUUGGAAACGUACUGGGAGCCAAUGCAGAUCUCUCAGAACCGGUGUUAUGUGGUCCCGGCGGCCACUCCCAGCCACCAGUCUAGCUGCCGCAUUCUGGAUUAAUUGCAGUUUCCGGGUCACCUUCAAAGGUAGCCCCACGUAGAGCGCGUUGCAGUAGUCCAAGCGGGAGAUAACUAGAGCAUGCACCACUCUGGCAAGACAGUCCGCGGGCAGGUAGGGUCUUAGCCUGCGUACCAGGUGGAGCUGGUAGACAGCUGCCCUGGACACAGAAUUAACCUGUACCUCCAUGGACAGCUGUGCGUCCAAAAUGACUCCCAGGCUGCACACCUGGUCCUUCAGGGGCAUAGUUACCCCAUUCAGGACCAGGGAAUCCCCCACACCCGCCCGCCCCCUGUCGCCCCAAAACAGUACUUCUGUCUUGUCAGGAUUCAACCUCAAUCCAUUAGCCACCAUCCAUCCUCCAACUGCCUCCAGACACUCACACAGGAGCUUCACCGCCUUCACUGGUUCUGAUUUGAAAGAGAGGUAGAGCUGAGUAUCAUCUGCAUAUUGAUGGACACCCAGUCCAAACCCCCUGAUGAUCUCUCCCAGCGGCUUCAUAGUUUGCAUGGUUAAGUUAAAGCUCAUAGUAAUGGUCCAAAAGGGCAAUGAAGUACCCUACUUAUAGAUAAAAGGGGCAUAUUUCUUAUAUUAUAUACUGGAGCAAUCAAAAUCAAGAAAAUGGGACAACUUAUGUAUUGUAAUGUUUUGCUGUUCCUGUUCUUGUGGAUUCAUGAUGUGGUAAAACUAAAUUAAAAAUGGAUAAGAGAGUGAGGGUCUGAGGUAGUAUUCAACUAGGUUUUACUCAGAAAUACUGAAUGUAUAAACAUGACUAAGUUAGACCCACUAAUUUCAGUCACUAUACUCUGAGUAAAGAUUCGUUGAAGGCUGCCACAGAUAUCAUGUAACCUUGAGCAAAUAAAGAUGAAUGUUCAAUAAAUGGAAUCGCCUCAAGUUUCACUAGGGAACAAUAAAUCUGCUACUGUACAACAAUUCAGAUUUUCCGGACAGGCUCUGAAUUCACUUAGUAAUGAACAAAGCGGUCAAUGAACAAAUGACAAGACUUUCCUUUCCUUGUCAAACACUGUGCACCACUCGGCAGGUGGAAAGUAUCAGCAGCGACAUGAUAAAUACUGGACAUUUCCAAUUAAAAUAGAGUAUUAGAAAGCUUUUCCCCAACUCCAUUUUGAACACAUGGGUUCAACUGUGCAGCUGGGGAGAUUCAUGGACAUAUCACAGCAAGACAGACUGGGCAACUGUGGGGCAGCAGUACUGGAAGAUCUUCCCGGCCUUGGAUGCCAGCUAUAUUUUUGUAUUAAAUUGCAUUGCAUAUAGAGACCUUGCUUAAGAACAGGGCUUUUUUCCAGCCAGAACUUGCCGGAACUCAGUUCCGACACCUCUCAGAUAGUCGCCAUUGCCAUUCUAAGACAACAAGAGAGGAGUUCAUGGUGAGUUCCUGCACCUCUUUUUCUAGAAAAAUUGGACUACUUAAGAAGAUGAAAUGUUGGAGAGGGACAGGAAAAGUAAGGUUACUGUUACAGGAAGUUAAUGGGAAUGUCGCUUGGAAAGUGGUCCAUUUUGCAGUAAAGACUUCCAGUCUGAGGGAAAGGUAUUCGGGAUCUAUCCUAGACAACAGUGGUGGAGAUUAUUAUAUUUGUUUCUUUUAUUUGGACAUGUAUCUUUCACAUGCUUUAAUUUUAUUCUGUUUUUAUGUUGACAUUUUAGCAGAAUAAUUUCAAAGUUCUGUUUUGGGCAGGCAUAGGCAAACUCGGCCCUCCAGGUGUUUUGGGACUACAACUCCCAUGAUCCCUAGCUGACAGGACCAGUGGUCAGGGAUGAUGGGAAUUGUAGUCCCAAAACAUCUGGAGGGCCGAGUUUGCCUAUGCCUGGUUUUGAGUUUACUUAUAAAGAUUGAGUUUAAAAUGUAAAAUAUAUAUUUCUGUGGAGAAUAAGCUUCGCCUUCUCUUUUGGAACAGACUAUGUUCUUAUUCAAUAAAAUUCCCUUCAUUCACUAGUUAAUCUCAAAACUUUCUCUCUCCAGGUACAACUGGUGAAUUGCUUUCAGUCUUCACACACUGUGGCACUGAACGUUUGAAAGAGAAAUGUGGACAGGAAGCAAAGGUCAAGG
Non-coding RNA from Podarcis lilfordi (Lilford's wall lizard), 4991 nucleotides. NCBI's taxonomy places the organism in Eukaryota, Metazoa, Chordata, Lepidosauria, Squamata, Lacertidae. The record is from the annotation of a GenBank genome assembly.